RNAcentral lists this ribosomal RNA (251 nucleotides) under uncultured prokaryote. RNAcentral's name for it is "partial 16S ribosomal RNA". It matches the Rfam family "Bacterial small subunit ribosomal RNA", at positions 524 to 774 of the family's 1533-position model. The record is from RNAcentral.
UACGGAGGAUCCGAGCGUUAUCCGGAUUUAUUGGGUUUAAAGGGUGCGUAGGCGGAUGAAUAAGUCAGUGGUGAAAGGCUGCAGCUUAACUGUAGACUUGCCGUUGAUACUGUUUAUCUUGAGUGUGGUCAAGGCAGGCGGAAUGUGUAAUGUAGCGGUGAAAUGCUUAGAUAUUACACAGAACACCGAUUGCGAAGGCAGCUUGCUGGGCCAUUACUGACGCUGAUGCACGAAAGCGUGGGGAGCGAACA